UCUCUACCCUUUGUGAACUAUUAUACCUGUUGCUUCGGCGGCGCCCGCAAGGGUGCCCGCCGGUCUCAUCAGAAUCUCUGUUUUCGAACCCGACGAUACUUCUGAGUGUUCUUAGCGAACUGUCAAAACUUUUAACAACGGAUCUCUUGGCUCCAGCAUCGAUGAAGAACGCAGCGAAACGCGAUAUGUAAUGUGAAUUGCAGAAUUCAGUGAAUCAUCGAAUCUUUGAACGCACAUGGCGCCUUCCAGUAUCCUGGGAGGCAUGCCUGUCCGAGCGUCGUUUCAACCCUCGAGCCCCUGUGGCCCGGCGUUGGGGAUCUGCCACGGCAGGCCCCUAAAACCAGUGGCGGACCCGAAGGGCCCUCUCCUUUGCGCAGUAGCAUUCGCCUCGCAUCGGGAGUCCUCGGCGUCCUGCCUCUAAACCCCCCACAAGCCCGCUUCGGCGGCACCAAGGUUGACCUCGGAUCAGGUAGGAAUACCCGCUGAACUUAAGCAUAUCAAUAAGCGGAGGA
This 512-nucleotide ribosomal RNA is filed under the name Plectosphaerella cucumerina. Its description in RNAcentral is "eukaryotic LSU rRNA". The stretch from base 127 to 280 matches the Rfam family "5.8S ribosomal RNA". The record is from RNAcentral. Lineage: Eukaryota; Fungi; Ascomycota; Sordariomycetes; Glomerellales; Plectosphaerellaceae.